This 71-nucleotide transfer RNA is filed under the name Ictidomys tridecemlineatus (thirteen-lined ground squirrel). RNAcentral describes it as "Spermophilus tridecemlineatus (thirteen-lined ground squirrel) tRNA". It matches the Rfam family "tRNA". Rfam says of the family: Transfer RNA (tRNA) molecules are approximately 80 nucleotides in length. Their secondary structure includes four short double-helical elements and three loops (D, anti-codon, and T loops). Lineage: Eukaryota; Metazoa; Chordata; Mammalia; Rodentia; Sciuridae. The record is from Rfam by way of RNAcentral.
UGAGAUGUAGCUCAGUGGUAGAGCGCUUGACUGGCAUGCAUGAGGCCCUGGGUUCAAUCCCAGUACUGCCA